Molecule: ribosomal RNA, 487 nt
Filed under: uncultured Oscillospiraceae bacterium
Lineage: Bacteria; Bacillati; Bacillota; Clostridia; Eubacteriales; Oscillospiraceae
Description: partial 16S ribosomal RNA
Source: RNAcentral
CACGUAGUUAGCCGGAGCUUACUCUUCAGGUACCGUCAUUUCUUCGUCCCUGACUACUAAGGUUUACAAUCCGAAGACCUUCUUCCCUCACGCGGCGUUGCUGCAUCAGAGUUUCCUCCAUUGUGCAAUAUCCCCCACUGCUGCCUCCCGUAGGAGUCUGGGCCGUGUCUCAGUCCCAAUGCGGCCGAUCAACCUCUCAGUUCGGCUACCGAUCGUCGCCUUGGUGAGCCAUUACCUCACCAACAAGCUAAUCGGACGCGAGUCCAUCCUUCAGCGAAUUGCUCCUUUGAUACCAGGAUGAUGCCAUCCCGGCAUAUUAUGCGGUAUUAGCGGCCGUUUCCAGCCCGUUAUUCCCCACUGAAGGGCAGGUUACUCACGCGUUACUCGCCCGUCCGCCACUAACAAAAAACCGAAGCUCUUUUGUCCGCUCGACUUGCAUGUGUUAGGCACGCCGCCAGCGUUCGUCCUGAGCCAGGAUCAAACUACU